Molecule: ribosomal RNA, 468 nt
Filed under: uncultured bacterium
Lineage: Bacteria
Description: partial 16S ribosomal RNA
Rfam family: Bacterial small subunit ribosomal RNA
Source: RNAcentral
GACGAACGCUGGCGGCGUGCUUAACACAUGCAAGUCGAACAGAAAGGCCCUGCUUUUGUGGGGUGCUCGAGUGGCGAACGGGUGAGUAACACGUGAGUAACCUGCCCUUGACUUUGGGAUAACUUCAGGAAACUGGGGCUAAUACCGGAUAGGAGCUCCUGCUGCAUGGUGGGGGUUGGAAAGUUUCGGCGGUUGGGGAUGGACUCGCGGCUUAUCAGCUUGUUGGUGGGGUAGUGGCUUACCAAGGCUUUGACGGGUAGCCGGCCUGAGAGGGUGACCGGCCACAUUGGGACUGAGAUACGGCCCAGACUCCUACGGGAGGCAGCAGUGGGGAAUAUUGCACAAUGGGCGGAAGCCUGAUGCAGCAACGCCGCGUGCGGGAUGACGGCCUUCGGGUUGUAAACCGCUUUCGCCUGUGACGAAGCGUGAGUGACGGUAAUGGGUAAAGAAGCACCGGCCAACUACGUG